CCCACCUUGAUGAUGAUGGACUGAACCACUGAACCUGAGCCCAUCAGUCCAAUCUGCUACGGAUGCACUGACUCUAUUGGGGCACUGCCUUCUCAGCCACAGCCACCUUCAAAGCUGAGCCACCCAGACCCUGCUGGCCACACUAACAGCUGUGCCUGGUAGAUCCGGAUCUGAGAAAUGGCGCCAAGGCCACGGCAGAAGCAGAACGGACUGUUGCCGCUGCUCCAGAGCCAUGGAAGUGAGGCCAUCCUGUGUGGGUAAGAAAGCCUCAAAGAAACCACAGAAAGUCAGCCCAGUAGCCCUGGCCCAAGUGAGUUUUGGGAGCUCCCAUGGUGCUUUGGGUCUCUGGGUUCUAAUCUGUCAAAUGUGUAAUGGGCCGGUUUUCAGGUCAAUCCGCACAUCUGUAUAAACAACCAAUUUAUUCUUCAUUUUUAUAAAACUGAGAAAAUAUACAUUCUUUUGAAAUAUUUCACAAAAAUAUACUUUCAUGUCAACCAGAUCUAUUGUAAUCAAUUUAAUUUACCAUAUAAUAUUCCUUUCUAGGACCAUACUUCAUGUUAAAGAAUAUUCAAUUUUUUCUCUAUUACAAA
This 590-nucleotide small RNA is filed under the name Rattus norvegicus (Norway rat). RNAcentral's name for it is "uncharacterized LOC108350345". Lineage: Eukaryota; Metazoa; Chordata; Mammalia; Rodentia; Muridae. The record is from RNAcentral.